CCUACGGGAGGCAGCAGUGGGGAAUAUUGGACAAUGGGGGCAACCCUGAUCCAGCCAUGCCGCGUGUGUGAAGAAGGCCCUCGGGUUGUAAAGCACUUUCAGUGAGGAAGAACGCCUGGUGGUUAAUACCCAUCAGGAAAGACAUCACUCACAGAAGAAGCACCGGCUAACUCCGUGCCAGCAGCCACGGUAAUACGGAGGGUGCGAGCGUUAAUCGGAAUUACUGGGCGUAAAGCGCGCGUAGGUGGCUUGAUAAGCCGGUUGUGAAAGCCCCGGGCUCAACCUGGGAACGGCAUCCGGAACUGUCAAGCUAGAGUGCAGGAGAGGAAGGUAGAAUUCCCGGUGUAGCGGUGAAAUGCGUAGAGAUCGGGAGGAAUACCAGUGGCGAAGGCGGCCUUCUGGACUGACACUGACACUGAGGUGCGAAAGCGUGGGUAGCAAACAGGAUUAGAUACCCUAGUAGUC
This 465-nucleotide ribosomal RNA is filed under the name Vreelandella stevensii. Its description in RNAcentral is "partial 16S ribosomal RNA". It matches the Rfam family "Bacterial small subunit ribosomal RNA", at positions 338 to 795 of the family's 1533-position model. The record is from RNAcentral. Lineage: Bacteria; Pseudomonadati; Pseudomonadota; Gammaproteobacteria; Oceanospirillales; Halomonadaceae.